UCUUCAUUUUUGACUACCAAGUACUUAUGAUCCGGUCUUAUUAUACAUAUACUACCAUUUACAGCUAGCUACUUGAUCCAUAAUUCAAUUAAUUACCAUUGUUUUCUUUUUUCUUUUCUCUUUAUUACUCACUAACUCAUUAAUAUUAUUAUUAAAUAUUUGCUAAACGCAUUUAAUUUUCCACUCGUCUUCUUCUUCUUCUUAAUAAUGAGCCACUAUUGCUAUUACUAUGACUCUUUCUCUCUCUUUCUUUUUUUUUCUUAUUUUUCAAAAAUAAAGAUAAGAAUUAAAAGACGAAAUUGGGUUUGAGAUUUCUUUAAUUUUCGAUUCACAAGGUGAUACUCGUAUUGUCUAAUCUGCUUAAAUAUACUUUUUAACUCGUUUUCUUUAAUUAAGUACUAUAUACUAUUUUUAUGUGUAAUAAGUUCAUAUAAAAUCAACUAAUUAAGUUUAGGGUUCCCUAAGCUCUAAUGUUAGCUUGCUUUAUAGAUAUUUUGUUGAUGAGCUUAGGAUUGAAUUGAAUUCGAUAUAUAUUAUUAGCAAAGCUUCAAAUCUAUAUCUCUAUAUCUCUCUCUCUCUCUCUAACACAAUACACAUACUUAAUAAUAAGUAAUAAUAAUAAUAAUAAUAAUAACAAGGGAAGGGUUGUAAUUUAGUUCGAUUCCUAUCCAUACUUUAAUUAUGAAUUAAAGGCACCCUUCCUCUCUUGAAAGUUGAAGUUCUUCUCUAUAUAAUGAGCUUCACAUGAACUAACUAUUCCCCAUUUCUCAACUCCCUCUGCUCUGCUCUCUUCUCUUCUCUUCUCUUCUCUUCUUUUUCUUAUAUCUCCAUCGAUCCCUCAUUAAUUCAUAUAUCUUCUUGCUCUUCUCUCUUAGCUUGCUCUAACAUACCGCGAAGGAGUUCUAAUUCUAAGUAAUUAAAGCAAAAGGAAGAAAAAUGAGUAGGAGAAACAGAGGAAACAACAGCAACAAUGAUCAGCAGGAGUUGGAUUUGAAGCUGAAUCUGUCAGUGGCUGAAACAGCCACAAGAGUAGUAAGAAGACAGAGGAGGAUGUCAACGUCUUCAUCGGAAGAGUCAGAGUCUCCAACACGUUCAUGUGUUUCUUCUGAAGAAAGUCUAAAAUAUUCAAGCAGUCCAGAAGCAACUUCAAUGGUGCUUGUUGGAUGUCCAAGGUGUCUCAUGUAUGUCAUGCUUUCAGAAGCUGAUCCUCGCUGCCCAAAGUGCAAGAGCACUGUACUCCUCGAUUUCCUCCGCAACCAAAAGUAACCAAUCCUUAGCUUGCUUGCUAUCAUGGACGACCCGCCCACCAGUUUAUUUAAUUAAUUAUUACUAUUACUAUUAUUAUAAAUAUGGUUAGUUUGAUUAAGUUGGGGAGUAUUAGUUAGCAUUGAUUAAACUUUAAUGUGUUAGAAUCGUCGUCCUUUCAUUUGGUUUGUCUUAUAUUUAGUGGUCUUAAUUAAGUAGUAAUAGUAAUUUAGUAAUUGCUAGAGAAACAGGCUGAAACAUCAAGUCCUGUUUGGUUGCCCAUAAGACGGGAUGUACUCAGGGACUGGCUGAUCAUGCGGCUGAUGUGAGUAGGUCGUAAUACAUUCUCCCGUCUUCUCUGCAACCAAAUGGAAUUUUUUUUUUUAAUAGAAUUAUGAUUAUAACUAUAAUUAAGGAGUAUUAUUAUUAUUUUUAUUAUUUAAUAUUAUUAUUGAUGCAUCUUUUAGUUUUACCUAUUGAUGAAUUAAUUAAUUUUGAAUUUGGUUGUAGUUAUC
Long non-coding RNA from Amaranthus tricolor (Joseph's coat), 1760 nucleotides. RefSeq lists it as uncharacterized. NCBI's taxonomy places the organism in Eukaryota, Viridiplantae, Streptophyta, Magnoliopsida, Caryophyllales, Amaranthaceae. The record is from RefSeq and is a predicted model, not a curated record. The transcript is spliced from 2 exons.